RNAcentral lists this ribosomal RNA (253 nucleotides) under uncultured bacterium. RNAcentral describes it as "partial 16S ribosomal RNA". It matches the Rfam family "Bacterial small subunit ribosomal RNA", at positions 524 to 776 of the family's 1533-position model. The record is from RNAcentral.
UACAGAGGUCCCAAGCGUUACUGAGAUUCACUGGGUUUAAAGGGUGCGUAGGUGGCGCGUUAAGUCAGUUGUGAAAUCCCCGGGCUCAACCCGGGAAAUGCUUCUGAUACUGGCGUGCUUGAGGCCGGUAUAGGUUACUGGAACGGACGGUGGAGCGGUGAAAUGCGUAGAUAUCGUCUGGAACGCCAGUGGUGAAGACGGGUAACUGGGCCGGUUCUGACACUGAGGCACGAUAGCGUGGGUAGCGAACGGG